AGGACGAACGCUGGCGGCGUGCUUAACACAUGCAAGUCGAGCGGUAAGGCUCCUUCGGGAGUACACGAGCGGCGAACGGGUGAGUAACACGUGAGCAAUCUGCCCUUCACUUCGGGAUAACUCCGGGAAACCGGUGCUAAUACCGAAUACGACCACCGAUGGCAUCGUCUGGUGGUGGAAAGUUCCGGCGGUGAAGGAUGAGCUCGCGGCCUAUCAGUCUUGGUUGGUGGGGUAAUGGCCCACAAGGCAACGACGGGUAGCCGGCCUGAGAGGGUGACCGGCACACUGGGACUGAGACACGGCCCAGACUCCGACGGGAGCAGCAGGUGGGAAUAGUGGAACAGUGGGACGAAGCCUGAUCCAAGCGAACGCCGCGUGAGGGA
RNAcentral lists this ribosomal RNA (383 nucleotides) under uncultured soil bacterium. RNAcentral describes it as "bacterial SSU rRNA". It matches the Rfam family "Bacterial small subunit ribosomal RNA", at positions 26 to 408 of the family's 1533-position model. The record is from RNAcentral.